GUCGAGCGGGGGAAUUGCUUCGGUAAUUGACCUAGCGGCGGACGGAAGGUCGUCUUUGGAAUCUGCCUAUUAAUGGGGGACAAAGUGAAAGGGAUGCUAAUACCGCAUACGCCCUACGGGGGAAAGCAGGGGAUCACUUGUGACCUUGCGUUAAUAGAUGAGCCUAAGUCGGAUUAGCUAGUUGGUGGGGUAAAGGCCUACCAAGGCGACGAUCUGUAGCGGGUCUGAGAGGAUGAUCCGCCACACUGGGACUGAGACACGGCCCAGACUCCUACGGGAGGCAGCAGUGGGGAAUAUUGGACAAUGGGGGGAACCCUGAUCCAGCCAUGCCGCGUGUGUGAAGAAGGCCUUAUGGUUGUAAAGCACUUUAAGCGAGGAGGAGGCUCUCUUGGUUAAUACCCAAGAUGAGUGGACGUUACUCGCAGAAUAAGCACCGGCUAACUCUGUGCCAGCAGCCGCGGUAAUACAGAGGGUGCGAGCGUUAAUCGGAUUUACUGGGCGUAAAGCGUGCGUAGGCGGCUU
This 522-nucleotide ribosomal RNA is filed under the name Acinetobacter guillouiae. RNAcentral describes it as "bacterial SSU rRNA". It matches the Rfam family "Bacterial small subunit ribosomal RNA", at positions 61 to 581 of the family's 1533-position model. The record is from RNAcentral. Lineage: Bacteria; Pseudomonadati; Pseudomonadota; Gammaproteobacteria; Moraxellales; Moraxellaceae.